AGAAUCAACGCUGGCGGCGUGCCUAACACAUGCAAGUCGAACGAGAAAGUGGAGCAAUCCAUGAGUAAAGUGGCGCACGGGUGAGUAACACGUGACUAACCUACCCUUGAGUGGGGGAUAACCUAGGGAAACCUGGGCUAAUACCGCAUAAUACCUUCGGGUCAAAGGAGCAAUUCGCUUAAGGAGGGGGUCGCGGCCGAUUAGUUAGUUGGCGGGAUAAUGGCCCACCAAGACUGUGAUCGGUA
Molecule: ribosomal RNA, 245 nt
Filed under: uncultured bacterium
Lineage: Bacteria
Description: partial small subunit ribosomal RNA
Rfam family: Bacterial small subunit ribosomal RNA
Source: RNAcentral